GGAGAGAUGGCCGAGCGGUUCAAGGCGUAGC
This 31-nucleotide transfer RNA is filed under the name Bromus tectorum (cheatgrass). RNAcentral describes it as "partial tRNA-Ser". The record is from RNAcentral. Lineage: Eukaryota; Viridiplantae; Streptophyta; Magnoliopsida; Poales; Poaceae.